Molecule: ribosomal RNA, 429 nt
Filed under: Gemmatimonadota bacterium
Lineage: Bacteria; Pseudomonadati; Gemmatimonadota
Description: Gemmatimonadetes bacterium partial 16S ribosomal RNA
Rfam family: Bacterial small subunit ribosomal RNA
Source: RNAcentral
UAGGGAAUCUUCGGCAAUGGACGAAAGUCUGACCGAGCAACGCCGCGUGAGUGAAGAAGGUUUUCGGAUCGUAAAACUCUGUUGUUAGAGAAGAACAAGGACGUUAGUAACUGAACGUCCCCUGACGGUAUCUAACCAGAAAGCCACGGCUAACUACGUGCCAGCAGCCGCGGUAAUACGUAGGUGGCAAGCGUUGUCUGGAUUUAUUGGGCGUAAAGCGAGCGCAGGCGGUUUCUUAAGUCUGAUGUGAAAGCCCCCGGCUCAACCGGGGAGGGUCAUUGGAAACUGGGAGACUUGAGUGCAGAAGAGGAGAGUGGAAUUCCAUGUGUAGCGGUGAAAUGCGUAGAUAUAUGGAGGAACACCAGUGGCGAAGGCGGCUCUCUGGUCUGUAACUGACGCUGAGGAUCGAAAGCGUGGGGAGCAAACAGG